Molecule: ribosomal RNA, 308 nt
Filed under: uncultured bacterium
Lineage: Bacteria
Description: partial 16S ribosomal RNA
Rfam family: Bacterial small subunit ribosomal RNA
Source: RNAcentral
GAGACAGCAGUAGCCGCGGGAAUACAGAGGUCCCGAGCGUUGUUCGGAUUCAUUGGGCGUAAAGGGUGUGUAGGAGGUUGGGUAAGUCAGGUGUGAAAUCUCUCAGCUUAACUGAGAAACUGCGCUUGAUACUGCUCAGCUAGAGGAUCGGAGGGGGUAACGGAAUUUAUGGUGUAGCAGUGAAAUGCGUAGAUAUCAUAAGGAACACCGGUGGCGAAGGCGGUUACCUGGAAGAUUCCUGACUCUGAAACACGAUAGCCAGGGGAGCAAACGGGAUUAGAUACCCCUGUAGUCCCUGUCUCUUAUAC